Molecule: ribosomal RNA, 500 nt
Filed under: uncultured bacterium
Lineage: Bacteria
Description: partial 16S ribosomal RNA
Rfam family: Bacterial small subunit ribosomal RNA
Source: RNAcentral
AUUGAACGCUGGCGGCAUGCCUUACACAUGCAAGUCGAACGGCAGCACGGGAGCAAUCCUGGUGGCGAGUGGUGAACGGGUGAGUAAUAUAUCGGAACGUGCCCAGUCGUGGGGGAUAACGCAGCGAAAGCUGUGCUAAUACCGCAUACGAUCUACGGAUGAAAGCGGGGGAUCGCAAGACCUCGCGCGAUUGGAGCGGCCGAUAUCAGAUUAGCUAGUUGGUGAGGUAAAGGCUCACCAAGGCGACGAUCUGUAGCUGGUCUGAGAGGACGACCAGCCACACUGGAACUGAGACACGGUCCAGACUCCUACGGGAGGCAGCAGUGGGGAAUUUUGGACAAUGGACGCAAGUCUGAUCCAGCCAUUCCGCGUGCAGGAUGAAGGCCCUCGGGUUGUAAACUGCUUUUGUACGGAACGAAAAGGUCUCUCUUAAUACGGGGGGCUCAUGACGGUACCGUAAGAAUAAGCACCGGCUAACUACGUGCCAGCAGCCGCGGUAA